GAUGAACGCUGGCGGCGUGCCUAAUACAUGCAAGUCGAGCGAACGGACGAGAAGCUUGCUUCUCUGAUGUUAGCGGCGGACGGGUGAGUAACACGUGGAUAACCUACCUAUAAGACUGGGAUAACUUCGGGAAACCGGAGCUAAUACCGGAUAAUAUUUUGAACCGCAUGGGUCAAAAGUGAAAGACGGUCUUGCUGUCACGUAUAGAGGGAUCCGCGCUGCAUUAGCUAGUUGGUAAGGUAACGGCUUACCAAGGUAACGAUGCAUAGCCGACCUGAGAGGGUGAUCGGCCACACUGGAACUGAGACACGGUCCAGACUCCUACGGGAGGCAGCAGUAGGGAAUCUUCCGCAAUGGGCGAAAGCCUGACGGAGCAACGCCGCGUGAGUGAUGAAGGUCUUCGGAUCGUAAAACUCUGUUAUUAGGGAAGAACAUAUGUGUAAGUAACUGUGCACAUCUUGACGGUACCUAAUCAGAAAGCCCCGGCUAACUACGUG
Molecule: ribosomal RNA, 497 nt
Filed under: uncultured bacterium
Lineage: Bacteria
Description: partial 16S ribosomal RNA
Rfam family: Bacterial small subunit ribosomal RNA
Source: RNAcentral